GCUGGGGAUAUAACUUGAUUGGUAGGGUGCUUGCCUCGAAUGCACAAGGCCCUGGGUUCAAUCCCCAGCAGCA
RNAcentral lists this transfer RNA (73 nucleotides) under Marmota monax (woodchuck). RNAcentral describes it as "tRNA.Ser". The record is from RNAcentral. Lineage: Eukaryota; Metazoa; Chordata; Mammalia; Rodentia; Sciuridae.